This 80-nucleotide ribosomal RNA is filed under the name Scorpidium scorpioides. Its description in RNAcentral is "partial 25S ribosomal RNA". It matches the Rfam family "Eukaryotic large subunit ribosomal RNA", at positions 1 to 79 of the family's 3401-position model. Lineage: Eukaryota; Viridiplantae; Streptophyta; Bryopsida; Hypnales; Amblystegiaceae. The record is from RNAcentral.
CAGACCUCUAAUCGGAAAAGACUACCCGCUGAGUUUAAGCAUAUCAUUAAGCGGAGGAGAAGAAACUAACCAGGAUUUCC